GACGAACGCUGGCGGCGUGCUUAACACAUGCAAGUCGAGCGGUAAGGCCCUUUCGGGGGUACACGAGCGGCGAACGGGUGAGUAACACGUGGGUGACCUGCCCUCAGCUCUGGGAUAACGCCCGGGAAACUGGGUCUAAUACUGGAUAUUACUCUGCGGUGCAUGCCGUGGGGUGGAAAGCCUUGUGCGGCUGGGGAUGGGCCCGCGGCCUAUCAGCUUGUUGGUGGGGUGAUGGCCACCAAGGCGACGACGGGUAGCCGGCCUGAGAGGGCGACCGGCCACACUGGGGACUGAGACACGGCCCAGACUCCUACGGGAGGCAGCAGUGGGGAAUCUUGCGCAAUGGGCGAAAGCCUGACGCAGCGACG
RNAcentral lists this ribosomal RNA (368 nucleotides) under uncultured bacterium. RNAcentral's name for it is "bacterial SSU rRNA". It matches the Rfam family "Bacterial small subunit ribosomal RNA", at positions 28 to 396 of the family's 1533-position model. The record is from RNAcentral.